RNAcentral lists this ribosomal RNA (431 nucleotides) under uncultured archaeon. Its description in RNAcentral is "bacterial SSU rRNA". It matches the Rfam family "Archaeal small subunit ribosomal RNA", at positions 474 to 903 of the family's 1478-position model. The record is from RNAcentral.
UACCGGCGGCUCGAGUGGUGACCACUUUUAUUGGGCUUAAAGCGUCCGUAGCUGGAUUGCUAAGUCUCUUGGGAAAUCUCACGGCUUAACCGUGAGGCGUCUAAGAGAUACUGGCAAUCUUGGGACCGGAAGAGGUGAGAGGUACUCCGGGGGUAGGAGUGAAAUCCUGUAAUCCUCGGGGGACCACCUGUGGCGAAGGCGUCUCACCAGGACGGCUCCGACAGUGAGGGACGAAAGCUGGGGGAGCAAACCGGAUUAGAUACCCGGGUAGUCCCAGCCGUAAACGAUGCGCGUUAGGUGUAUCGGCGACCACGAGUCGCUGAGGUGCCGAAGGGAACCGUGAAACGUGCCGCCUGGGAAGUACGGUCGCAAGGCUGAAACUUAAAGGAAUUGGGCGGGGGAGCACCACGAACGGGUGGAGCCUGCGGUUU